Triticum aestivum (bread wheat) is the source of this 3217-nucleotide RNA transcript. RefSeq lists it as uncharacterized. NCBI's taxonomy places the organism in Eukaryota, Viridiplantae, Streptophyta, Magnoliopsida, Poales, Poaceae. The transcript is spliced from 5 exons. The record is from RefSeq and is a predicted model, not a curated record.
UUUUCACCUCCCCACGAUCGGUCCGCUCACACACCGCCCACAGAAACAAUCCAUCGCCACCCACGACUCCCUCACCCUGACUAGGGUUCCUAGCCCUAUCCUCCGCCGCCGUUGCGUGUUCCCGUCUGACAUCGCCCGAGCGCUUUGUUGACCUCGCCGGGAGCAGCCAGCUGGAUCACGCCGCCAUGCCUCCCUCUCUCCCUUCUCUUCUUUCCCCCUACCUUCUCUCUCUCCUCUGAACUGCGCAUCGCUCCUGUUAGAGGCCGGGGACACCUCGGCACACGCCGCCUACCGGGAGACGCCGGUGCUGGACAGGGAUAGCCAGGCAGCCGUGCGCGUGCAAGGUCGGUUCGCGGCACUGCCUCGUCCAGCCCAAGCCGCUCAUCCGCGUCGCCGUGUUCGCUCAAGCCGUUGCGUCCCGUGGAGGAGGGAGCAGGCACAUGAACGCGGGCGCCGCUGGAGAUGUUGAUGAAAAGCAGAGGAAUUUCAUUCCGUUGAUGCUUCAGCAAUCCUUUUAUCUCACCACGCCCACAUGCUCCGAUGAAGCAAUUCUCAACGGCGGUGGCUGGUUGACUCGUCUCAGGUCACAGUGAUUAGUGCCAAUUAGCCUGAUCGUGCAGUGAUGCCAGCUGGAUCACGCCGCCGUGCCUCCCUCUCUCCCUUCUCUUCUUUUCCCCUACCUCUCUCUCUCCUCUGAACUGCUCCUCUCUGCAGGUGCCGCCAUGGCCGCGUCUUGGAGCUCGCCGCCGUGGGCUGCGCGCCCCUUCGAUGACAGCCUUCCUCGCCCACGUCCAGGUCCUCUCAAUCCUAAUUUGACGAAUGGGAGCGGAAGCUGCAAUGUCAAGAUCCGCAAGCAGGACAUGAACCACCUUGCCAUGAAUUUCCUCGUCACAUUAGGAUUCAUCGACGCCACCAACAGGUUCUGUAUCAAUUCCGGCACCCAACGUACUGUAUGCCCACACGUUUAAAUCAUGCCGCUCUUACUCCUGCAAUACUCCAAGAAUAGUACUUGAGAUUUAGGCAGCAGUGGGCAUGGUAAUUAAUUUUUAUUUAGUUGGUUCAGUUACUAUCAUUGGAAGUGCCAGACAGAUCUCGCCGUCAAGAGUAGCGCUGCAGGGUCAUUCACCUGGUUGGCCUCUUAUGUAACUGGUGUUGUUGUGUCCAUGUGGAAGGAGAGCCCGCUUCUCCGGGACGCCGGCGCUGACAUGCUCACCGUAGGCGACGUCAUGGCGGUGCUCGACUUCAGGGAGGAGGUCGGCAACCACCACUUCUUGGACCAAGUAAAGCUUUGCUCGCCAUUGAAAUAAUCUCGUUUCUUGUUUUUUCUCUUUCUGAUAUGAUUGAUGAUUUAUUCCAUUUGCACAAAAGGAUUCUCGAGGAAAUAGCACAAGCUAAUUCAAAAUCAUCUCUUAGUUGAUCAAGCAUGUAAUCAUAAAGUGAAGGUAGAGAAGUUUGGAAUAGUAACCUCGUGGUUUCAUUACCCACGCAUUGGAGAUCCCAUGCAAACUAUUGUGAUUUGUGAGAAGUUUCAGAAAUUUGCAAUUUGUGAGCGGGUACUAAGUUCUUUCUCAUGCAGUUACAUUGUUGUCCUGUGCUACAUUCUCCUUUGAUCCUGUAAGCAAAAGGCAAUAUAUAUACUGUUGGACCUUGAAGCUCCAAGACAUCUUAUGUUUUGUAUGUACUCCCCUGGUUAUUUAGCAAAUGCCAAAAAAGUGUGUUGUUUCUGUCAUGAGUACAUCGUUUGGCUGGGAGUUUUUCCUACUUGUUAUAAAUAUUAGGAACUUAAGCACAUAACGACGUAUCGAUCCUGUAAGCAAACAUCCUAUAUGGUGUGCUCUAACAUUUUCUUUGAUAUAGUUUUUUUAACAAAAUAACGGUGCCCAAGUCACUUCUAAUAAAGAGCAUGUGCUCGUGUAAUAGUACACUCAUAAUUCAUUGUGAUCAAAUGUACACAGAGUUUGCAGAAGCUAUGGAAGAAAUGGUAACUUUCUUACUUGGGAAAACUGCAUUAGAUAACGAUGAUGAUGACAGUGGUAAAUUGUCUGAAUCUAUAAGCACAUUAUGUGGAAGCUUGCAUGCUAGGAUUUAUUCCUAGAAGUUCUUGCACAAAGGACAUUUCCUGAUUUAAAGCCAACUAUGUUAUAUUUUGAUGGUAAUGCUCCUUUUUUCAAAAUUACCAGAUCCUUCAUGAAAAGAACUAUUGAUGUGACUUUUUCUAUACAUGUGGUGAUGCUAAGGCUCAGUUUGAACUACAAAAGUUCGUGGAUAACUAUCGUAAAAAUGUCAUAAAUACAGUCACAAACCCAUCAGAUCUAUGCUAUGGAUGCCGUGGUGAUUGCUGGAACGGAGGGUUCCUGGGAUGAUGAGAAGGUAUGCAGAUUCAUACUGUUCCAGGUUCAGACUGAAAUCUAAACUAAUGAAUGUAGAGUUGUAGACACAAUAUUUUUGUUGAUGCUGGUCAUCAAGUAAUUCAUGAAGUUGGGAUGGGGGGGGGGGGGGGGAGAACAUUAUGGGGAGUAUUGAAUUAGCCGAAAACGCAGAGUUCGUAAUUUAGUUUUUAGAUUGGAAUGUGCUAUGCAUUACUAAAAGAGUUUUUUUUUCUGGAGAUGAAUCUAAAUGGUCUGACGGUCUGAGUACUCGUCGGCAUGACGAGGUGACUACAGAUCCACCAUAACAUGCGAGUGGCAAUGCUCCAGGACAAGCAGGUCAAACUAUUGUCCAAAUAAUUUUUUGUACGAUUGGAAGUGCAAGCAUUUCUCCAAGAUGGUUUGGUCCUGGUGUUCAUGCAGCCGGCGAUGGCAUACCUUCACAGAAUGGAGUACGGCGUAGGUGUUCAAGGGUUGUAUCAGGCCGCAUGGGAAGAACCUGAAGUUGCAAGUGGAUACGGUCAAGAACAUAGUUAAAGGUGAUAUGGGAGAUAAGUUCCAUAGGCAAGCUGGAUUGAGGCUUGAUGAGCCGAACCCAAGGGACGUGCUUAGUUUCUACCACAAAAUUCUAUCAUUCACAUCAACGGAUGUUGCAAAGAAGUGGUUCAAGCAUACUUAUCCAAAUCUUAUAAUCCUGAGGGAGAAGACUUUGUGAAGGAGUUCAGGCUGAAUGGCCAGUUAACAAGAAUCGGGUGGAUCUGCGUGUGGUGGAUGAUCGUUUACAAGGAAUGUUGAAUGUAUGGUUCCUGCAGAUGUUCAGGUGGCGCCACGUAUUCGACCUGCGAUUUGUG